Molecule: long non-coding RNA, 440 nt
Filed under: Equus asinus (donkey)
Lineage: Eukaryota; Metazoa; Chordata; Mammalia; Perissodactyla; Equidae
Description: lncRNA (ENSEASG00005028672.1)
Source: RNAcentral
GCAUGGAGUGUAGACUACUAAAGCUCGUAGUCCGGAGGAAGAGGAGCAGGGCUUACUGAAGCUCUGAAUUACAUCAGUCAAGAUGCUAAAUGAGGAUAUAGAACAUCUAUGAUCUUCUGAUGCAUCGGUUGCCAUGGAAGCUGCUCCUCUGGCCUGAUUUGAUCAAUUUUUUUCAGUUACUCCCUGGGGUGUUCUCUGUCAGCGACUGAUACAACAUUUUCCAUUUUAUGUAAGUCAAGAAGAAGCAUUGCAAUGUCUGUCUGAUGUUAUUCAUCCUCCCUCUCUGUUCCCGUGUUCUUUCCUCCAUUUCUCCUUUCUCUCUCUCUCCAGUCUCUUGUUCUUUCCUUCCUUUUUCUCUCCCUCCCUCCCCACUUCUUCUUCCCUCAAGUGCCUACUAUAUGCCAGGUGUAAACUGAGUGUUGCCCAGCGAUGAUCAUGCC